This 1414-nucleotide long non-coding RNA is filed under the name Bos grunniens (domestic yak). Its description in RNAcentral is "lncRNA (ENSBGRG00000005319.1)". The record is from RNAcentral. Lineage: Eukaryota; Metazoa; Chordata; Mammalia; Artiodactyla; Bovidae.
UUAUGUCUCUUUGGCUUCUUUAAUCUAGAACUGGCUCCCUAAUUUGUUCAUCUUUCAAGAGAUUAACUUUUUUGGGAAAAGUUCAGGUUGCUUAUUUUGUAGGUCUAACAUUUUAAAUUUGUAUGAUAGUUUUCUCAUAUUAGCUUUGGUUGAAAUACUUUUGGGGAAAAAAGGGGGGGUGAUACCAUUGCAUACUUCAAACUGCAUACCAAGAGAGGCAUAACAUCACUUUGUCCCAUUAUUGGUAAUGUUUUGAGUAACAGCAUGGUUAAAUUGGUGUUUGCUCUAUUUCUCUGUUACAAAGAUAUCCUUACCCCUUGGUAAUUAAUAAGUGAUCUGAUAGUUGAUGUUUUGAGACUUGUGAAUAACUUAUUGCCUAAUAACCCUUCACCCAGCAGCUUUAGCAUUUGUUGAUGAUCCUUGCCUGGACCAGAUAUUACACUGGGAUUGAAAAACAGUGAUUUUUUUUUUUUCUAAUCUAAUCCCUUUCUAUAGAUAAGAAUUUUCUCUUCUUCUUUCUCCUAUUUCUACCUCUCAUCGAGUAUAGUGAUGUACCAUAGAUUCUGUUUUUAUUCAAUGUUUUAUAAUCAUUGUAAUUCAUCCUUUUAACAUGUAUUCAGAGACUACUCUGUACCAAGUACUAAAGUGAGAUUAACCUAACAUUAAUCUUAGUCUCCUUUACCUCCCCCUCUAAGUACUUAAGAAAACUAUCAGUGCAACAUUAACAACUAAUCCAGAUUCUUAAACUGGCCACCACUUAAGCCAACAAAGUUUUGGCAAAGAUAAAGGGAAUCCUUUAUAGAUAGAGAGAGCUGAAAAUGAAGAUGGGAGUGCAGAAUGAUCUCCAAAUUGUAAUUUUUAUUCCCCUUUUGUAAAUCCUAGCCAGGCAACUAUGGUUACAGCAAUCAUCAAAUCAUCAAACAGAAAAGAAAAGAAAAAAAAUCAAAAGAAAAGAAAAAAAAUCAAUUAUCAUCUCUGUGGUGUGAUACUGAAUCUGCCUCAGAGGGAGAGAAUUUCAAGAACUUGGUCUCAGUACAUGGGCUCAGGGUCCACAGGGGGAGAAUCAUAAUUCCUAUUCAGAGCACAAAAUAGGCAUUUAAUGAUCACUCAUGUCAUUAGGAAGAUGGGGGAAAUAUGUCCAUGUCUUUUACAGGUUCUUAAGCCAAUAUCAAGGUAUCAAAGGCCUUGGUCAAGACAGGAGUCCUAGAGCACUUCCCUGCCACAGGUCCUACAUGGGCAGCAUUCUCACCUCCCCAAAAGGAUCUGAAUGAUGAAUUCCAAAUAACUAAUCACCUAAUGAAACAGAAAACAGCUUUCAGUGGAAGGAAAAAGGACCCUAUGUUCCAGGGAAAGAAUAGACUGACCCGUUCUGGUCCAACUGUUUAGUGGAAGGAGCGUUCAGAGCUUAAUGCAG